AGGUAUUUGGCGUUGUGUCAAAGUUGGAAAGUCAAGAUGGUGGUGGACCAACUGAAUUGCCUGAUGAUAUUCAUUUACCAGUUACAAGCAUUGAAGAACUGGAGUUGGUUGAGACAGGUUUACAAGAACCUGGUUGUUUCAAUGGCUUGGUCACAUACCUGACACUGCAGUGCAAGGAGGUAUCACAAGAAGCGAUAUGUCAAAAAGAGUCAUGAAACACUGCAUGUCAAAUCAGUUGGCACUUCAGUUCAACUGGUUUGGCAAGAAAGGGAAGAGAGCGUUUGGGAAACUGAAGCUGGCCAAGGCAGUGCAAAAAGCAGUCAUGAAAUGUAAAAAAAAUGUACAGCAGCUGAAGUCGAAUUAGAUUGUAGAGAAUGGUUUCGCAGUGCAUGUGACAGAGAAAGAGACAGGCCGUAAAAGAAGACAAAAAACCAAUGAAGGUGUCCAAGAAACACCCACUGAAUAGAACUUUUUUAUAUAUUUAUAGCGAUAUUGAAAGAAAAAAGAUGGCUCUUUUAAAUUGGAAGUAAUGUAAAGGACUUGUAUCAUUCUAGCCUAAUAGUUCAAGAGCAUAUAGCCUAAGAAGAAUAAAUCAUACAUAAAUAGUGAUAUAGUUAAACUAAACAUUAUUGAGAUAUAUUUAAGAAACAAUAUCAGUUUCUGUGUUGUUCAUCGGCUAUUUAAAAUCAGUUUAAGCUUGUGUGUCAGGCAGGAUUAUAUAUAUUGUGUUUACAUCGUUGCUGGAUUAAUGAUUCUUCAGCCCCUGA
Ruditapes philippinarum (Manila clam) is the source of this 767-nucleotide long non-coding RNA. RefSeq lists it as uncharacterized. Lineage: Eukaryota; Metazoa; Mollusca; Bivalvia; Venerida; Veneridae. The transcript has 3 exons. The record is from RefSeq and is a predicted model, not a curated record.